AAAGUCGUAACAAGGUUUCCGUAGGUGAACCUGCGGAAGGAUCAUUAUGAAUUUGAUUGGGUGUUUCUUCUUUAUUGAGGAGAUGCUUUCAUUUUCUGUGAACUGUUUGAAGUUGGCUUGAGCAAUCAAAGUCUCUUCAUCUUUUUGUUUUCUUGUAUUAUUCCACUCUUUUUAAUUGAGCAAUCGAUUAAAAAAAAAAACCAAGACAACUUUCAGCAAUGGAUCUCUUGGCUCUU
This 236-nucleotide unclassified non-coding RNA is filed under the name Basidiomycota sp. Its description in RNAcentral is "partial contains small subunit ribosomal RNA, internal transcribed spacer 1, and 5.8S ribosomal RNA". The stretch from base 1 to 47 matches the Rfam family "Eukaryotic small subunit ribosomal RNA", at positions 1785 to 1831 of the family's 1831-position model. The record is from RNAcentral. Lineage: Eukaryota; Fungi; Basidiomycota.